Molecule: ribosomal RNA, 527 nt
Filed under: uncultured bacterium
Lineage: Bacteria
Description: bacterial SSU rRNA
Rfam family: Bacterial small subunit ribosomal RNA
Source: RNAcentral
AAUAGAUACCCGGGUAGUCCACGCCGUAAACGAUGAGUGCUAGGUGUUAGGGGGUUUCCACCCCUUAGUGCUGCAGCUAACGCAUUAAGCACUCCGCCUGGGGAGUACGGUCGCAAGACUGAAACUCAAAGGAAUUGACGGGGGCCCGCACAAGCGGUGGAGCAUGUGGCUUAAUUCGAAGCAACGCGAAGAACCUUACCAGGUCUUGACAUCCCGCUGACCGCCAUAGAGACAUGGCUUUCCCUUCGGGGACAGCGGUGACAGGUGGUGCAUGGUUGUCGUCAGCUCGUGUCGUGAGAUGUUGGGUUAAGUCCCGCAACGAGCGCAACCCUUGUCCUUAGUUGCCAUCAUUCAGGUUGGGCACUCUAAGGAGACUGCCGUACAAAUACGGAGGAAGGUGGGGAUGACGUCAAAUCAUCAUGCCCCUUAUGACCUGGGCUACACACGUGCUACAAUGGGCAGUACAAAGGGCUGCGAACCCGGCGAGGGGGAGCCAAUCCCAAAAAGCUGCUCUCAGUUCGGAUUGC